CAAACAGCUUUGACAAGGAAAGUUAGCAAAUCAUCUUCAUACAGAGAAGCUUCAAAAGCUGAGAGAAGCAAGAUAGAUAUUUACUAAAAAUCACCUUUGAGCUAGAAAUUGUGAUUAAAAGCAAUUUCAGGGACAGCCCUUUAUAGCGACAGCGUAUCGUUUAUUAAUAAACCGCACGCUUUUAAGAUACUAAUUUUUAGUAAAUAUAGGUGGUACCGCGCAAAAAGCGCCCUAUUU
RNAcentral lists this non-coding RNA (237 nucleotides) under Lactobacillus hominis. RNAcentral's name for it is "T-box sequence". It matches the Rfam family "T-box leader". Rfam says of the family: Uncharged tRNA acts as the effector for transcription antitermination of genes in the T-box leader family. T-boxes are found upstream of many aminoacyl-tRNA synthetase genes and some amino acid biosynthetic genes usually in Gram-positive bacteria. Lineage: Bacteria; Bacillati; Bacillota; Bacilli; Lactobacillales; Lactobacillaceae. The record is from RNAcentral.